This is a long non-coding RNA of Zeugodacus cucurbitae (melon fly), 4433 nucleotides long. RefSeq lists it as uncharacterized. The record is from RefSeq and is a predicted model, not a curated record. Lineage: Eukaryota; Metazoa; Arthropoda; Insecta; Diptera; Tephritidae. The transcript has 3 exons.
UCAGAGCAGUUGGUAGGUCCAUUCGUUUGGGAGAAUUUCACCAGUUUUCUGUCUAUUUUUUUAAGUAAAAUAAAAUGGUUCUUCUAGAAUAAAAAUUAGGGUACUGUUAAAAUAUUUCACCAAAUUCUAAAUUGGCGUUGAAAUGGUUGAUGUUGAAUUUGGACUGAGUUCUUCAAUUUAAAGUGAUUAAUAAAAGAAGAAAAACAAAACUAAAACUUGACUUGCGGACUCGUAACCACAGUUAAAAAUAUAUUAAAUAAACAUAGGCGGAGAGUCAGAUAGUUCUGGUGGAGUAAAUUAUGGAUUCCAUCAUUUGUUAUGAUUGCUUAUUCAUUCAAAAAACAGGGAAAGAAACAUCCUUUCGCCGUACACACUUUCUCCCCCCACCCGCGCAUUGAAAAACACACAUUGUAAUCGAAUUUGCAAUUUUUUAGACACAAAAGCCUCUCAACCGGUCGUGGUCGUGGGGCGAGGGGUGUUUUCAGUUAUUUGUGAUAUUUUAACUGUAAAAAUUCACCAACAAAGCAAAAAAUAAACAUAUUUAUAAAGUUGUUCACAAUUUUGUGAAUUCCAAUUUAGCCAACUGUAUGAGUGCUUCCAUGGAAUCCGCAUGUCAAAAGGUUUCCGAUCUCAGAAUUUCAUACAAACAAACAGGAGAUGUUAAGCUUCAUAGGGUCGAGGCAAAAAGAAAAAAACUGCAACAAAAAUACUUCAAAUUAAGGGGGAAAAGUGCGAAUGUCCGCUUUUUUGAGGGUGGACAAUUACAGUUAUAUGUGCAAAUGUGAAAAUAUAUAAAUAUGUGUGAAUAUAGAUGCGGUUAACCACGAAAUUGACAUUAGUGGAAAGAUAUUCCUUCUUAUUUUUCAGAAAAUAUUACCGAGUUAUUCCGAAAAUAUUUUAAGCCACUGAGAAAUACAAAUAAGAAACUCAAAUAAAUAAAUGAAAAUACUAGAAAUAUGGGAGAGCAAAGAAAAUUAAAGAAUAAAGAAUUGUGCAAAAACUUUCUUUGCUUACGCUUGUUUUUCUUCGCCGAAAUCAAAUCAAUUUUGGAAAUAAUUUAUUUGAGAAUCGUUGCAGUCGAAUAAAAUAAAUAGAUUACCCUUUAAUUGUCAUUAAUUUAAUACUCAGACUAGUUUGAACUGCAACCAGACAAUUCUGGUAGAAAGCUGGUAUUUUUGCGGACCCACUGCUGGGUAACUGGAUCAAUUUAUGCGAUUACAAGGUCCGCGGUCAUUUACGAUACAAAAACAUUGAUCAUUUAGUUAGUUAAUUGCUUAUAAAUAUCUGAUUACUACUGAUUAAAUUACACGGUUUCUUAUGACAAACUUAGCAUUAUGGCAUUGCAAAUGCGUUAACACACAAGUUAUUAAAUCGAAGUCAAUUAAAUUAGUAAUCGACUACAUGUACAAUAUUAUUUUAUGGAUAUUUGGAUAUUUGUUAGACCGGGGCUUCACAAACAAAAUAUUGUUAUUCUCGCUAAAAUAAUAAUUUCAAAUGUUUUCCCAUUUUUUGUGGAUACAGAAGUGUAUCAGUGUGUGUAUGUAUGUAUUUCAAUAAAAAAUAUGAAGCUUUCUCAGGGCAUUAACAUGGGAUGAAGCACAAAUUUAUUAUUUAUCCUUUUGUGUACAUACAAUUGUAAGCCUCAGCAGAAGUGUGUGUGUGUGUGUGUGUGUGGACAGCUCAUUGUUAUGCCCAACAAUGCUCGAAAAGCUGAUUUUUCAUUUUGACACAACUUAUGAAUGUGAACUAAUAGAUACAUAAAAUCUAUGUUCGCAGCAUACUUCCUUCUUCUUUUUCUAUUUCUAUUACAUAGCGUCUACAUACAAAUAUGGAGAUUACUGCAUACUACAUAUGUAUAAGUAUACAUGUGUAUGUAUGUGGAUGUGUCGGAAUCGACUUUACAAAUAUGUAAGUCUGUGUGUGAAUAUGUGUGAUUGCAGUACAGUCAGUCGUGACACGAAAUUCAUCAUCUGGAAGAAAAAUAUGUUCACUCAAAUUCAUGAUGUGGGCAACUAACUAACAGUACUCGACUUGGUCGUCAGGCUGUCAUUAGAGAGGGUGUAUGCAUUUCACACCCCAUGCUAGAAAACGUGAGAGGUGUGCAAACUAGACUCGAUAACGGUUUUGGUAAUUGAAUAACUUUUUUUGGACGAGAAAAUGUAAAAUACGAACCACCGGCAUGAAACAUUCCAAUCAAUAUUGGUCUCCCAAAAUGAAGAGCACAACAAAAAUGUAUCAUUGAUAACGUUUUCUUCAGAAUUUUCGAGUAACAAAGUUUCUUUUUUAACAAGGAACCGGAGAGAUUUCGAAUUUCGAUUUCGAGAUUUCGAAGAGCAACGAGUUUAAGUGUGAGCAGAUUGUAAAGCUAUUACAUACAGGUACGUAUGCUCUGCUAUUUAACUCUUCCAAUAAAAAUGUUACUGUAAUUUCAUAUUUGUAUUCCGGACCACAUAUAAAUAUAGUAACUUCAGAGCCUACAUUGCCAUUAGAUUUGCCGAGAGCGGAUAAUUGUACUGUAUCACAAUAAUUUCGCAUUUGCGGAUCUAAAACGCCGUAAGAAUAAUUCAUUCUUUGGAACGCUGCAGCCUGGACCAACUGAUGCGUUCACAAGCGGCAUUGGUAAUUUGGCAUAUGAGCAAUCACACCCAUGCACACACAUGCCGGCCGUUGGAACACCGUUCUAUCCCCACAGGACAUUAGAGAACAAGAAAGUACAAAAGCGUAGAAUGGGCAAGUGGAAAACUUUUUGUCACUCGGGGGUUCGUGCGAUACGACUGUGUGCGUAAGUGAGUGCGGCAUGAAGAAAUGUAGCAACCAAAUCGCCAUUAUACAUACGUGUAACUACGACUGCGGUUAUUCCGAAAUCUUUCAAAGAAAUGCCGUUGAGUUUCGUCUUGAAUAUGAAAUGGCUUGGAAAAGAAAAAUUGUGCCUCAGCCACCUCACAAAUUAUUUUCCACACACUCACACGCAUACCAACAUACCCACUUUGCAUUCGUUUUUUGUCAGCAUUUCGAGUGUUCGAAUUAUCGUAUUAUUAAAAUAGCAGACAAGGGACGCGCUUGCUUAAAAAGUGGAUCUCAAACCUUUAGCAAGCGGGAAUAAUAUACAAUAACAAUAACAAAGAAAAUCACUUUCAAAAUUGGUUAUUGUUAACGCAUAAAAUCGUUCAACCUUCUCACUGCUUAUAGAUACCAGGAUUCUCAUUCUCACUCAAGGAAUAUUAUUAUAAUAAUAGCCGACGUGAUUCGGCGUUCAUUCGAGGAGCCAAACCAUAGAUAUUGAAUCGGAUAUGUGUAUAUAAACUAGAAAGAGGAUAGCGCACUUGAAAGAGAGAGCAGAGGUCCAACACAACGUCCUGAGAAUCAAAGUCACCUAAUAUUGGUGGUCGCCAUAUCCGAGUCUGUUGAAGCAGUGCUUGCAGUGAUGAUCAGAGUCAUUAGAACUUGGAACAUAAGCAGGUUUUAACAUUGAUGCAAACUUCGAAGGAAGGAAAUAUUUUUGCCAUACAAAGAAAGCUUUCUGGACAAAUUCGGUAAAUUUUUCAAAGAUUUUAAAAUUCAUUGCGUAAACGGUUGUGCACAUAUAUACAUGGGUAUUAUGUAGCUUUUAUAAUACAUAUAUACCAUGUAUCUACAUAUACAUAUGUAUGUAUGUAUGUACAUUUGACAUGAAGCAAUUUACUGAAAUAAAAAUCAACUUCAAAUCUUUUAUUUCCAAUUCAAUUGCGAUAAAAAGCGAAAUAAGCCGAACAAAAUGGAAUGAGAGGUGAACUACAAGAGAAUCAAGAGAAUUCCAAACGAGAUUGAAAGUUAUUUCUUUCGACCGUGCGGAGGACUGGGGAAGUCUGGUCAUUACUUUUUACUUUUUACUUCCACGCAUUCGCACACUUUCAACUCACUUCCUAAGAUUCACAUCGAACUUUUGUUUACAAUUUUACACACACAACAUACAUAAGUUCAUAUGUAUGUAUGAAUGUUACCUAAAAAAUCGCCCACAUAAAAGGAAUGCGCUGCGAUGGAGAAUGUACUCGAAUGUACAUGUGUGUGAGUGUGUGCGUGUUUACAUAUGAAUUGGGAAAACGAAAAAGUGUAAUUUUAAACUUAGCCUCCAAAUAAAAAUAAAAUGGCCGAGCUGUGGGCUUUUGUUGCUGCGUCAGUGGACAUCAGAGGCGACAAGCAUCUGCAACGAACUGAAAAUCGUGUAUAUGGUCACUUGGACAUAUGUAUGUGUGUUCGCCGUGAGCUUCAGACGAAAUUGUAAAUGCGUUGUAAAAUUGUAAGGGUGGACGCAUGGUUGCUGCUGCUGCCGCCGCUGGUAAUUGGACUGGGGUGAAGGAGAUUAGGUACAUUUUCUCAAAUUUUCGUCGUGGUGGAGGCUACAUGCGUCGGCAGCAUUUGAGUAUGUGUGUGUGUGUGUAAUUGGCGCGUGCCUG